AUUGAACGCUGGCGGCAUGCUUUACACAUGCAAGUCGAACGGCAGCACAGGGAGCUUGCUCCUGGGUGGCGAGUGGCGAACGGGUGAGUAAUGUAUCGGAACGUGCCUGGUAGUGGGGGAUAACUACUCGAAAGAGUGGCUAAUACCGCAUGAGAUCUUUGGAUGAAAGCGGGGGACCUUCGGGCCUCGUGCUACUGGAGCGGCCGAUAUCAGAUUAGGUUGUUGGUGGGGUAAAGGCCUACCAAGCCUGCGAUCUGUAGCUGGUCUGAGAGGACGACCAGCCACACUGGGACUGAGACACGGCCCAGACUCCUACGGGAGGCAGCAGUGGGGAAUUUUGGACAAUGGGCGCAAGCCUGAUCCAGCAAUGCCGCGUGCAGGACGAAGGCCUUCGGGUUGUAAACUGCUUUUGUACAGAACGAAAAGUCUCUGGCUAAUAUCUAGAGAUCAUGACGGUACUGUAAGAAUAGGCACCGGCUAACUACGUG
This 488-nucleotide ribosomal RNA is filed under the name uncultured bacterium. RNAcentral's name for it is "partial 16S ribosomal RNA". It matches the Rfam family "Bacterial small subunit ribosomal RNA", at positions 30 to 507 of the family's 1533-position model. The record is from RNAcentral.